This 90-nucleotide transfer RNA is filed under the name Candidatus Magasanikiibacteriota bacterium. RNAcentral's name for it is "tRNA-Ser". It matches the Rfam family "tRNA". From Rfam's summary of the family: Transfer RNA (tRNA) molecules are approximately 80 nucleotides in length. The record is from RNAcentral. Lineage: Bacteria; Candidatus Magasanikiibacteriota.
GGAGAGAUGGCAGAGUGGUCGAAUGCGCAGCCUUGGAAAGGCUGUGUACGAGCAAUCGUACCGCGGGUUCGAAUCCCGCUCUCUCCGCCA